UACGGAGGAUGCAAGCGUUAUCCGGAUUUAUUGGGUUUAAAGGGUCCGUAGGCGGAUCUUUAAGUCAGUGGUGAAAGCCUACAGCUCAACUGUAGAACUGCCAUUGAUACUGGAGGUCUUGAGUAUAAUUGAAGUGGGCGGAAUACGUCAUGUAGCGGUGAAAUGCAUAGAUAUGACGUAGAACACCGAUUGCGAAGGCAGCUCACUAAGUUAUAACUGACGCUGAGGGACGAAAGCGUGGGGAGCAAACAGG
This 253-nucleotide ribosomal RNA is filed under the name uncultured bacterium. RNAcentral's name for it is "partial 16S ribosomal RNA". It matches the Rfam family "Bacterial small subunit ribosomal RNA", at positions 524 to 776 of the family's 1533-position model. The record is from RNAcentral.